CUGUGCACAUUCUAUUUAUCUAAGCAAUGCUAACUCCAGACCCAAUGUGUUGGUUUCUCCCCUGAAACUGAAGUAGCUCUGCAGUGGUCAAGCCAGAUUUCAAGAAGUUACUACCUACCCUCAUUCAUCUUAAGCGAGCACACUUGUACCUUUAAAGUCCUUAGGAAGAAAUGACUGGAUCGAGUUUAACCAAAUAGAGAUGGUGAAAUUAAAAAAGAGGCCAUGGUUAUCAAGCACAUCAACAAAAUAGGCAGUCAUGCUUCAGAAGUGAAACAGAGAUGCACACAGAGAUUGGAAGAAAAUAAGACAAUUAUUCAAGGGUCCAUGACUAUACUAGGAAAAAUGUUUAAAAAAAUCUCCCUGAGCCUGUUUCAUGGAAUGAGGCUUGCCUUGGAGCAUCCCAGGACUAUUGGCUAAAUUAGCUUUAAGCAUAAAAAUGUAAGCACUUUGUUGAACGUUUUGAGUGUUGGUUUGAUUUUGAGCAAGGUUAAUUGAUUAGUUGGGAUAAAAUGGAGAGUGAAACAGCUGAGCACAUCUGGUAACAACUGAUAAGAACCACAACCACAUACUCAAUUUCCCUCCUAGAAAGGGAGGAGCUGCCCUCUUACCUGACAGCUCAGUAAUGUGCUCCCACCCCUCCCACCUAAUGUCACUGCGGGAGCCCCUGAUGGAAAGUCUCUAUCCACUGACAGAAGAAAGAAGUUGGACUUGUGAUUUUAAGGAGAACUUUAGGAUGCUGGAAUAAGCCCUAUUCCUCUU
Molecule: long non-coding RNA, 759 nt
Organism: Canis lupus familiaris (dog)
Lineage: Eukaryota; Metazoa; Chordata; Mammalia; Carnivora; Canidae
Exons: 3
Source: RefSeq, a predicted model, not a curated record